AUUUUGGCCAUUGUAGUAGUUAGAUUCCUUUCAGUUGCAACUAACGAGAAACUUAAUUCAACUGAUAGGUAACUGUGGUUGAGAGGCAGCAUGGGCUCCAGCCAUGAGAAGACCAGGAGCUUGUCCUGUUUCUCCGCUCUUGUCUUGGUUCUUUUCUCUGCAUUGUUUUUAUUCUCAGGCUGGCUUCUCCCCUUGUGUUAAUAUGAUUGCCAGCAAUAAUCCAAGGAGGCAUGCUUCCUCGGUCAUGUCCAGAAGAAAAUAGCUCUUCUUCAAUAUGUAAGACACCUUAAUUAUUACCAAAUAUCUAUUCUUCCUUGUGACAGCUGAUUUUAUGUGUCAACUUGACUAGGCUAAGGGAUGCCCAGAUGUCUGGUAAAAUGUGUGUCUUCUGGAAACACCCAUUGGAAGAGAUUAGCAUUUGAAUCAGCAGACUGAGUAAAGCAAAGAAUCCUCACCCAAUCAGGUGGACCUCAUUCAAUCUGCUGAGGGCCUGAUUACAGCAAAAAGGAGGGGGAGGGGAAAUUUGCUCUCUGCCUGAGCUGAGUGCCCCAGACAUCAGUGCUCCUGGUUGUGGGGCCUUACAACUUGGACCAGGACUUACAAGGUUGUGCCUCCCUGCACCCUGCCACCUUCUUGGGCUUUUGGACUGCUGAUGGGACUUAUGUCAUUGACUCCUCUGGUUCUGAAGCUUUCAGACUUGUACUGAACUAAAGCAUUGGCUUUCCUUGUUCUCCGGCUUGUGGAUGGCAGUUCAUGGGACACUGUGACUUCCAUAAUCACUCUCAGGAGCUGUACUUGGCUACUCUCAUUGAACAAAUGAAGACUCCAACCUUCAACCAGGAGGGUGCUGGGCUUAUGGGCGGGGGGCAGCCAGAUUGGGGGCCCCGGGCUGGGAUGGUGACCCCUCCCCAGCCUCAGCACCUGCACUUUCAUGUGUGCCCUUUUCCAGAAAUGUAACUUCAUCUUCUUGAUCUGAUUAAGUUUUUUAUUUUGGCUUUAUUAAUGCUGAUUGUCAGAGCAAUAUUUUAAAAGGACUACAUUUGCAUGAUGUUGCAUUUUAUUCAGCUAAUUACUUUCUGGAGAAUUUUUGAUCAUACUGUAAAAUUAUAUGAUGUGAAAACAUUUACCACUGUCAGAAUAAAUCUCAAGAAUCCAUACAUUUUAUUUUUUGUGGCCACUCAAAAUUCUGGUGUUACGUUUAUAAUAUCCCCACCUGAAUAUCUUGUUUAUGAAAAUGUAAGGGGAAACUGAAAGGUGUUUUACAUUUCUAACACUUGAUAUUAAAUGAAAGCAAAAUCAGAAUAGACCAACCCCACUACAACAAUCACCGCAACCAUCAAUACCACACCUGGGCAGCUACCAACACUUCUUAGGGCUAAGGAAUCAAUAAGUAGGCAGGAACCUGCAAUUUUCGAGCCACUUUGAAAAGUCCAAGUUUGGUAGGAGUUCUUUUUAAACAUUUUCUUGGGGCUAAAAUCUGACACUACAUUGUUCUUGAUUCUGCUGGAGCCCUCAGUACUAUGGUUUCCAUCUCUCUCUCUCUCUUCCCCCCGCCCCCCAUAGAUUCAGCACAAACUCCACUAAUUCAACUUCUCAGUGGUUUGUGGCGUGAGGUUGGGUGGGAUGCUGUUGGUAACUCAUGGAAAUGUUACAGAGCUGUCAAAAAUAUAAGUAGUCAGCUAUAUACACUAAGAAAAGUGCUGCAUUUCUAUCUGGUCCCGGUAGAAGAUUAGUAAGAGAAAUUCUGGAUACCAUGGGCACCUCCCCUCUGUACUGCAAGUUUCUCUUCUUUGCCUCCUUUCUCUGUUCCAUCUCUUCUCCUUAGCUUGUGGGCGCAGGAACAUGUAGUAGUAAUGAAGUCAGUUGAUGAUGAAGGUCCAGUGGAGGGGGAAGACGCCUACUGGAAGAGGAGGCAUCUUCAUUCUUUACUUGGCCUCAGAGAGUGACUCCAUGCCAAGUCAUCCAUCUUGCAAAUGCAGGCUGCUCUUCACCAGUGGAAAGUGAGAAUGUAAGGAAUCAGCACAAGUCAAUCACCUCUAAAGGGAAAAAUAACCAAGGGACUAGUUUAGAUGGAUUAGGACAACACAACACUAAAGGGGAAAAUGUUUUCUAGUCAUAUUUGUUCCUUCCUUUUCUUUUUUCUUAUCCUUUUCCUAGGCUUUCCUAGCCUAUUCUAUUUCCUCUGGGAGGUAGGGAAGGGGAAAAUGUUCAUUUAUAUUUAAUCCUGUCAACUGAAAAAUGAAAAUAAAAAUAGUUGGACAUU
Bos taurus (domestic cattle) is the source of this 2263-nucleotide long non-coding RNA. The record is from Ensembl. NCBI's taxonomy places the organism in Eukaryota, Metazoa, Chordata, Mammalia, Artiodactyla, Bovidae.